UCUCGCCCCACAAGCUAGCCCACUUUCAAAAUACAACAGCCCCCAUUAAUACCCACAAAUAAACUAAUUAAAUCAUAAACAAACCAUUUUUCCCCCUCAGUAUGGGAGACAGAAAAGGAAACACGGCGCAAUAGAGACAGUACCGCAAGGGAAAGCUGAAAGAGAAAUGAAAAAGCUCAUACAAGGUAAAAAAAGCAAAGAUUAACACUUGUACCUUUUGCAUCAUGACCUAGCAAGCCCCUUCAAGCAAGAAGCCUCAUAGUUUGAAACCCCGAAACUAAGCGAGCUACUUCAAGCCAGUCUAUUAAAGGACAAAUCCGUCUCUGUGGCAAAAGAGUGGAAAGAGCUUCAAGUAGAGGUGACAGACCUACCGAGCCUAGUUAUAGCUGGUUGCCUGAGAAAUAAAUAGAAGUUUAGCCCUUUGGUUUCUUUUGCCCAGCACUGAUUAAAUCCCUACCUGGUGAAAAGAACAACAAAAGAGUUAGUCAAGAGAGGUACAGCUCUCUUGAACAAAGACACAACUUUUCCAGAAGGUUAAGGAUCACACGUCCAUAAAGCAAAGUACCCAAGUGGGCCUAAAAGCAGCCACCCCCUCAGAAAGCGUUAAAGCUCAAGUACUAAGCACCAAAAAUACCGACAAACCCUCCAAGACCCCUCCCCAUAUCAGGCCCUUCCAUGCACCCAUGGAAAAGACCCUGCUAGCAUGAGUAAUAAGAGAGCCCGCCUCUCUCCUAUGCACCUGUGUACAUCAGAACGAACCCCCACUGAAAAUUACUCGCCCCCAACUAACAGAGGGCAAUGAAAUAAAAAUAUGAAACCUAGAAAAACCUUCAACUAUGCAGCGUUACCCCCACACAGGAGUGCUUAAGGAAAGACUAAAAGAAAAGAAGGAACUCGGCAAACACUGGCCUCGCCUGUUUACCAAAAACAUCGCCUCUUGCCCAAAAUAAGUAUAAGAGGUCCCGCCUGCCCUGUGACUAAAAGUUUAACGGCCGCGGUAUUUUGACCGUGCGAAGGUAGCGUAAUCACUUGUCUUUUAAAUAAAGACCUGUAUGAAUGGCAUAACGAGGGCUAAGCUGUCUCCUUUUUCCAGUCAAUGAAAUUGAUCUGCUCGUGCAGAAGCGAGCAUAAAGACAUAAGACGAGAAGACCCUAUGGAGCUUUCAGACACAAGAACAGCCCACAUCAAAACACCUAGAUGAUUAGGAAAAAAUCAAAUGGCCCCUGUUCCCAUGUCUUUGGUUGGGGCGACCGCGGGGAAACAAACAACCCCCACGUGGAAAAGGACAAAAUCCUUAAACAUCAGACCCACAAGUCUAAAAACCAGAAAUUCUGACCAAAAAGAUCCGGCAAAGCCGAUUAACGGACCCAGUUACCCUAGGGAUAACAGCGCAAUCCCCUUUUAGAGCCCAUAUCGACAAGGGGGUUUACGACCUCGAUGUUGGAUCAGGACUUCCUAAUGGUGCAGCCGCUAUUAAGGGUUC
This 1483-nucleotide ribosomal RNA is filed under the name Psammogobius biocellatus (sleepy goby). Its description in RNAcentral is "partial 16S ribosomal RNA". It matches the Rfam family "Bacterial large subunit ribosomal RNA", at positions 361 to 2574 of the family's 2925-position model. The record is from RNAcentral. Lineage: Eukaryota; Metazoa; Chordata; Actinopteri; Gobiiformes; Gobiidae.